CAGUGGGUCAGAGGGGUCGGGGCAUCUGCUGCAGCCCCCAAGCGGGGUGCGUGCAGGGGCCGCAGCACCCGCAAGGUGCCGCGUCGUCACUUGGAGGCGGUCAGCAAACCACAUAUGUGUGCAACAUCCACAUUCUUCAAGGUGGCAGUUUUUAGGGCUUAAUCUUCUGGACGAUGAAAUCGCCCCACCACGGGUGUACUUCUGAGAUACCAAAAGGUAGCCUAGCCCAUUGAAUGGCAAUGCCAAGCGUGCCAUGGGUGAAGCAGAUUCACCAAAACCAACCUAGGGACAGAAGAAUCUCCGUAGAGCCCGCAGACAG
Molecule: long non-coding RNA, 319 nt
Organism: Phyllostomus discolor (pale spear-nosed bat)
Lineage: Eukaryota; Metazoa; Chordata; Mammalia; Chiroptera; Phyllostomidae
Exons: 4
Source: RefSeq, a predicted model, not a curated record